UACGUAGGAUCCGAGCAUUAUCCGGAGUGACUGGGUGUAAAGAGUUGCGUAGGUGGCAUAAUAAGUAGCUAGUGAAAUCUGGUGGCUCAACCAUUCAGACUAUUAGCUAAACUGUUAAGCUCGAGACCGUUAGGGUAACUGGAAUUUCUAGUGUAGGAGUGAAAUCCGUAGAUAUUAGAAGGAACACCAAUAGCGUAGGCAGGUUACUGGACGGUUCUGACACUAAGGCACGAAGCGUAGGAGCAACGG
This 249-nucleotide ribosomal RNA is filed under the name uncultured bacterium. RNAcentral describes it as "partial 16S ribosomal RNA". It matches the Rfam family "Bacterial small subunit ribosomal RNA", at positions 524 to 775 of the family's 1533-position model. The record is from RNAcentral.